This is a non-coding RNA of Cajanus cajan (pigeon pea), 8604 nucleotides long. The record is from RefSeq and is a predicted model, not a curated record. NCBI's taxonomy places the organism in Eukaryota, Viridiplantae, Streptophyta, Magnoliopsida, Fabales, Fabaceae.
AUUGAAAUAAUGAAAUCCUCCUCUGGUCAUCAUCAGACACAGGCUAACCCUAAGAUCCAAAGAAUUUUCUCGAAAUUCACCAAUCCACAGGUUGAAGCCCACAGCUUUGAAUUACUCGUCAGAAGCAUACUCUCGCAGCAUCGAUUUUUGUACUUGAACCUUAUCACAUUACAAAACAAGUAAAAAACCUUGAUUCUCUCUGUUCCAUGUCGUCGGGAAGGAAGAAGCGGCAAGGGACCACGGCAAUUCCCGUGGAUGCAAACUCUACUCAGCAUGAAACACAAUCUGUGGAUUUUGGUGCUGAUUGUGAGGCCAAUGAGACCAAAAAAAUCAACUGGGUUGUGAAGAAUGAUGAUGGGGCAGGGGGUUCUUCCCCCGUUCAAGAAGGCGCACGUGGCAGAAAGAGUAAAAAGGAGACGGAAAAAAAGGUUUUGGAGGGCAAUUUGUCGGAGAAGAAUGAUGCUGAAGAAGAUAAUAACGGUGAGAAUGGUGUUGGGGUUGGAGGUUCUUCCUCCGUUAAAGAAGGCGUGAAGAAGCGUGGUGGAAAAAGUAAAAAGGAGGAGGAGGAGGAGGAUACGGAGAAAAGAAUGUCAGAGGGUAAUUUGUUGGAGAAGAAGGAUGCUCAAGACAAAAACCACAGUGAAAAGGGUGGGGUUUCUGAGCAGAGGAGCGGUAGAAAAAGAAAGAUGGUUAAGAAAGAUGAUGGCGAGUUUGAAAUGCCUGCGGAUUCUUCGCGAAGUGACAGGCAGUUUAGGCCUAGGGGCCGUAAAGUCAUUAAAGAAGAGGUGGAACCAAAAAUCAACAAGUGGGAUCCUAAGUGGAUUGAAGAGAUUUCCUUAAUGUGCCAUCAGUGUCAGAGGAAUGAUAAAGGCGAUGUUGUGAGGUGCACACUUUGUAAGAGGAAAAGAUUUUGCUUUCCUUGUUUAAAAAGUUGGUAUCCCCAUUUGAAAGAGUAUGAUAUUGCUGAGGCAUGUCCUGUAUGCCGUGGUAAUUGCAACUGCAAAGCAUGCUUGAGAUCCGAUGAACUCAUUAAGAAAAUGAAGAAAGAAACAGAAACCAUUAAAGAUGAGAAGGUUGAAUUCUCGAUACAUUUGCUGCAAGUACUUCUUCCAUAUUUAAGGCUGUUGGAAGAAGAACAGAUGAUUGAGAAUGAGACAGAAGCUAAGAUACGGGGGCUCUCAGUCUCAGAGCUAAAUAUAGUAAAGGCAGAUUUCACUAUGGGCGAGCGUGUGUACUGUGACAACUGCAAAACAUCAAUAUUUGAUUACCACAGAAGCUGUACAAAAUGCUCUUUCGAUCUUUGUCUCAGCUGUUGCCGUGAGCUUCGUAGAGGGCAGCUUGUAGGUGGUGCAGAUCCAGUUGUGUUGGAGUUUGUCUGGCAAGGUAAGGAUUACUUGCAUGGUGCUGAAAAAGAAGGUAAAAGGGUAAAACGAAAUGCAUCAAAUGCUGAUGCUAAGCCUGUAGUUUGUGAAUGGUCAAGAUCUGGGUGGCAUGCAAAAAGUGACGGUAGCAUUCCUUGUCCCAAAAUCAAUGAUUGUAACCAUGGUUUUCUUGAACUGAGAAGCAUUUUAGGCCAACACUUUAUCUCUGAGUUAGUGCGUAAAGCGAAUGAACUAGCGCAAGCAUACAAGCUUCAAGAUGUAGCUAUGACCCCUGAUGACUUCUGUUCGUGUUUGAGGCUUGACAGAAACUCAGAUGAUGUAUAUAGUAAUAUGAGGAAGGCUGCUUCUCGUGAAUAUUCCAGUGACAACUAUUUAUACUGCCCUCGGGCUGUAGAUCUACAGUACAAGGAUUUAAGGCAUUUUCAGUGGCAUUGGGAAAAGGGGGAGCCUGUUGUUGUCAGCAAUGUGCUUGAAUGUACAUCUGGUUUAAGCUGGGAACCACUUGUCAUGUGGCGUGCAUGCCGUCAGAUGAUUAAUACCAAGCGUGAACAACAUUUGGAUGUCAAGGCCAUUGAUUGCUUAGAUUGGUGUGAGGGAGAAAUUAAUAUCCACCAAUUUUUCACUGGGUAUACAAAAGGUCGUAAGGAUUGGCUCAAUUGGCCUCAGAUAUUGAAGUUAAAAGAUUGGCCUCCUUCUAAUUUAUUUGAAGAACGUUUGCCUCGCCACUGUGCUGAGUUCAUAUCUUCCUUGCCCUUCAAGGAAUAUACUGAUCCUCAUGUAGGUUCUCUUAACCUUGCUGUGAAGUUGCCUAAAAGUUGUAUAAAGCCAGACAUGGGGCCAAAGACAUAUAUUGCUUAUGGAUUUCCUCAGGAGCUUGGACGUGGUGAUUCAGUGACUAAGCUCCAUUGUGAUAUGUCUGAUGCAGUAAAUGUGUUGACUCAUAUUGCUGAAGUGGAAUUGGAAUCAGAUCAACUUACUGCCAUUGACAGGUUGAAAACAAAGCAUUUUAAGCAAGACAAAAGGGAACUACUUGGUGAUGAUCAGGAUGGAGAAACUAAUGUUGGCAUGCUUAAUAAUUCAUCUUCUACCUUGAUUGCUUUGGACAAGCAAAAUAGUGAUCAAGUCAUGGAACAUGAAGGUGGAUUAUGUGAUGGGAUAGAAGUUGAUCAAUUUCAUCAACCCUCUGGUGGUAAUGUGGUUGUCAUUGCUAAUGAGGAUUGUCUUUCAUGUGUAUCAGAGCUCAAAGAGGUUGACAAAGUAAAAAUAAAACAAGAACGUGAUUUGUUGUUUCCAGGGGAUGCUUCAGCAGGUGCCCUCUGGGAUAUUUUUCGGAGGCAGGAUGUACCUAAAUUGCAGGAAUAUCUGAAGAAGCAUUUUAGAGAGUUCAGGCAUAUCCAUUGCUGUCCUUUGAAGCAGGUUAUUCAUCCCAUCCAUGACCAGACCUUCUAUCUGACUAUGGAGCAUAAAAGGAAGCUUAAACAGGAGUAUGGAAUUGAGCCCUGGACUUUUAUUCAAAAGGUAGGAGAUGCUGUUUUCAUUCCAGCUGGUUGUCCUCAUCAAGUCAGAAAUCUGAAGUCAUGCAUUAAGGUUGCAUUGGAUUUUGUCUCUCCUGAAAAUGUUGGGGAGUGCUUUCGAUUAACAGAGGAAUUUCGUACACUUCCAAUAAACCACAUGUCUACCGAGGACAAAUUGGAGCCUGUUUCAAUUUGGUAUCCGAGCUUUGGAAAGGAAAUAUCCUCCGCAUCCUCUGUCACUAUCAGUUUCAGUACCAUGACUGAAGAAAACAUUUUUCAUAACAAGAAAAUUGAGGAAAACGUUUCUGGUAACAAGAUGUUGUCCAUUGUGACCGUCCAUGAUACUUCUUUCCAAUUAUUUUUGUUAAGUUGGAUGGGCUUAACUAUCAUGUGGGGUCUCAAAUCAUGGAGAUGUAUAUUGUUGGCCGAAGGAGAAAAAGAUACAUAACAGGGAUGAAGGUUGUGUCUCUUGAGAUAGACUCGAGCUAUGAUGAAUGGGAGGCUGAAGGUUGGUAAAGUCUUGGCUCAUCAAAUCUAUUCGAAAAACUGAUGGAACAUUUUGUGCAAUGUGGAACAACUAAAGAGGUUUGGGAUGUUGUCAAGAGGAGCCAUCUUGAUGUCUUAGAUUCUUCUCAAAUUCAUGAAUUGAUGAAGAAAUCAUUCCAAUCUCGUCAAAGGGGCGGCUAGCUUUUGAAAUAUUACAAGUUAAACACAUUGUUGAGGAGCAAGGUGUGUCCAAACGAUAUUGAGAAAAUGAGAUGGUGUGUCCAAACUAUAUUCCUUGCUGGUCUUGAUCACAGUCUGGAUGAAGUCAGUGGUCAGGUGAUGGCUGCCUUUUCUUUACCAAGCUUCGAAGAAGCCUAUCAAUAUGUUUGUCGUGAGGAAUAGAGCCAACUCACCAUGGGAAUGGAAGAUAGAUUAGAAGCAUCAGCCUUAGUUGCUCAAAAGAAUAACUCAAUCAGCAGUUGCCACUUGCUCCUCCAACUCCUUUUCUUGUUUAUGUAAUUGUAAUAGUACAAUGCAUACUGUGGUUGUUCGUUGGAAAAAGCAUGGCUAUCCGGUAUGGUAUAAAAUUAAGCAAGCUGAAAGAAAAUAUAAAAAAUGUACACAGGUUGUUGUCGCAGAUACUCUGCCAACUUUUGCUUAUCACGUGACUCAGGUGUCUCAAGAAGAAGGUAAUUACAGUUGGUUAUCUUUCCUAUUAUUAAUACUAACACUUGGAUUGUUGAUUUAGGGGCUACUAAUCAUAUGAGCAAAUCAUCGCAGUUUGACUCGAAUUCCUUCAUUGAGUUUUGUUCAGGUUGCUAAUGAGACUUUUAUGCCAAUUCAAUGUGCAGGUUAAAGUUUUUCAUUUUGACAAUGAUCGUGAGUAGGGAUGUAAAUGCGCCGAGAUAUUUGUGAACUAUUCUGGCUCAACUAGCUAAAUACUCAAUCAAGCUUGUUUGUUUAAUUAAAUAAACAAACUCAAGCUUGAGAUUGAGCUUGAUUAUUUAAAUGAGCCAAACCCAUGCACGAGGAACUAGACACUAAGAAUGUGUGAAUAGCUGGUUUAUAUAUAUACAUAUAUAUUAUAAUAUUAAUUCUAUGAAAACACUUUGUAUAGUAUUCUACUAAUAAUUUUUAUAUAAAAUAAUAUUUUUAUUUACUAUUUAUAAUUCUUCUGUGAGAUAAAAUUUAAAAAAGAGAAAUAAUGUUAAAGUUAAAAAGAAAAGAAGACAUCUCAAUUCCUUUUGAUUGAGCUAGCACAUGAUGGGCAUGAUGGGGUGCUCGUGCCGGGUUGAUGUGAUGUAGGUGGCACAAGAUUGACAUUUAGGGUUAAUGUGAUCAUGUUAAAAAUAACUUAAAUAAAAAUUAAAUUAUAAAUGAAAUAAACAAGGCAAGCUCAAGCUUGUUUUUUUUAACAAGCCAAGCCUAAGCUUCAAGAGUUUGACUCAUCUUGGCGCAUUUACACCCUAGUUGUGAGUUUGUUAAUCAAUCUCUUGCCAAGUUUUUCAAGAAAAUGAAAUUCUCCACCAAACAUGUAUACACACCACAACAAAAUGAUGCAGCGGAGCAAAAAGCUGUCACAUUCUUGAAGUGGCUUGAGCUUUGUGUUUCAUUGUAUAUGUUCCUAAACAUUAUUGGUUUGAUGUUGGCAUGAUUGUUGUUUUCCUCAUAAAUUGAAUGCUUGUGCGUGUCACUGACUAUCAAAAACCUUUGCGGAUGUUAUCCCAAUUUCACUCGGUUCCUUCUCCCUUAAAUAUUUGUCCUAGUGUUUUUUGUUGUGUCUAUUAUAUUCAUAUUCACUCACACCAUAGGGAUAAGCUUGAUUCACGUGCUCUAAAAUGUGUUUUUCUUGGUUAUUCCAACUCUCAAAAGGGAUAUAAAUGUUACCAUCCUCCCACCGGAAAAUAUUAUGUUACAAUGGAUGUUCAAUUUUGUCAACAUGAGCCUUAUUUCUUUGGGGCUGUGUCUUCAAUUCUCUUCAAGGGGAAAUUGAUAGUAAAGAGGGAGCAAAACUAUGGCUAGAUGAAAAAAGAAUUUGGAUUUCAGAUAGCCUUAUGAAAGACAGUUGAUAAUCAAGGACAACCUAAGGAGUAUCUAGCAAAUGGUCUGGAGAAGUCUAUAGAUGUUUUGGAACCUUUGGCAGUUGAACCUGAACCUAGUGAUGAAAGGAAGAGGCGUAUAGGCUUUUCAAGCAAGUUUAUUCAAGGAGGAACAAAGAUAGUCAUUCUAAUACCCCCCUUAAUGAAACUACCAUGCCAUCAUAUGACACUUUUGAGACUAAUUUUAAGGUAAGAUUCUUCUCUACUUUCCUUGUCUCUUGAAAUUUGUAUCUUAAGUGCGCCAGUUAAGGAUGAAGGUAGGGGAUAUGCUCUUUGUGAUCGUAAAGCACUUGAUAGGUUUCAAUGGUAGAUGAAAUGCAAGAACUCCAAAAGGAUUCCAUAUGGGACAUUGUCGAGCUUCCUAAAGAUAAGAAACAUUGUCGAGCUUCCUAAAGAUAAGAAGACGGUAGAAUGUAAGUGGAUUUUCUCAAUAAAGUACAAUUUAGAAGGAACAAUAGACGGGUACAAGGCUAGAUUGGUUGCUUAAAGAUGCCCCUAAACUUACGGAAUUGACUAUAAAGAGAUCUUUGCUCUUGUGACCAACAUGUAUACUGUUUGAGUAAUACUCUCUUGUAGUUAAUCUAGAUUGGCCUCUUGUAGUUAAUCUAGAUUGGCCAUUAAGGCUAUUUGAUGUGAAAAAUGCCUUUCUACAUGGUAAUCAAUCUAUUGGAAGAGGUGUGUAUGGAUUUACACAAACGGAGGAAACGUAUGCAAAUUGAAUAAGGCUUUAUAUAGGAUAAAGUAGUUACCAAGGGCAUGGUUUAGGAGAUUUAGCCAAUCUAUGAAGGAGUAUGGGUUCAAGCAAGCUAUGGAAGAUCACACAGUUUUACAAGAGUUUGGCACUAAUAUUACCCUCCUUAUUUUUUAUGUUGGUGACAUGAUUGUCACAUGUAGUAAUCUUCCUGAGAUAGAGGAGCUUCGAGACUAUUCGGCUAAGUAAUUUGAAAUGAAUGACUUGGGUGCUUUGAAAUACUAACUUGACAUUGAAGUAUCUUGAUCUUGGACGAACCCUACCUCUAUCAAUUGAGGUAUACAUUAGAUCUCUUGGUCAAAAUAGUUAACUUGGCUUGCUAAUAUGUUGAUACAAUUAUUGAGGUGAAUCAUGGCAUGAGUGUUUAUCCAGAUCAGAUUCCAACAAAGAGAUACCAAAGGCUGGUCAGAAGUUGAUCUAUCUAACUCACACAAGACCUAAUAUAUGAUGUUGUUGGUGUCAUGUGUCAGUUUAUGCACAACCUUAGUAAGUGACACGAGUGCAAUGAAUUGGAUCUUGGCUUAUCUCAUGUUCUCAUUGGGAAAAGGCAUAUUGUUCUCAAGACAUGGACAUCUAGACAUUCUUGAUUAUUCAUAUUUUGCUAGGAAGAAAAUCUACAUCAGGUUACUUGUCAUUUGUUGGAGGCAAUUUGGUAACUUAGAGAAGUAAGAAAUAGAAUGUAGUGUCAUUGUCUAGUGCAGAAGCUGAAUAUUAUGCUCUUCAUCAUGAAACUACAGAGCUUUUAUGGCUGAAAAUUCUUCUAACUGAACUUGAGUUUGGUUUAGAAAACCUAUGACACUUUUUUGUGAUAACAUGGCAGACAUUAAAAUUGCAAAAUUCCAGUGCAACAUGAUCGGAUGGAGCAUGUUGAACUUGAUAGGAAAUAUAUUAAUUGCAACCUGGAUGCUAGCAGGAUAAAGGUUCCACAUUAAAAAGUGCCAAUCAACUAGCUGAUAUAAUGAGUCAUGCUGUUCCAAGUGGUUCAUUCUAUUCAGUACUAUCCAAGUUGUGUGAUAUCUAUGCACCAACUUGAGGUGGAGAGUUGAUGUGUACAUACUGUAAAUAUUUUGUUUCCUUAGGAUUAAUUGAUUAUAAUCAAUUUAUUAAUUGCUAUUUCCUAGAAUAGAAAAUUGUGUACUGUGUACAAAUACCCUUGGAGGUAUAUGGAAUAAUAUUAUGACUGACUGUCUCAAUUCUCUCAACACUUUUUGUUUUUUGAACUCUCGAAUAAUUCUUCAUAUCUAUACCUUGAUACCUUGAAUCAGGAUUCAGGAGCUUUAAAUCACAUGAUAAAUGCUACAACCUGAUUGGCUAAUUUUCCCCAUUUUGACUAGUUUUGUCCUUCCUGCCUUGUUUAUAGUUUCCUUUAACAGCAUUGAAUUUGACAUGGAAUCUAUUGGGAAAGAUUUGCUUUCCAUAAAUAAAAGGGUGCAUAAGUCCGAAGAACUCAUACAUUGUCAAUGCAAAUGCAUAAACUGUCUUCUACCCACUUAAAACUGUGUUUUACUUCUCUCCAUAACUGGUUUUAUGGAACCCAUUUUGAUCCAUAAAAAAUCAAGUAUUUUAUGUUUGGGACUGUCAACUUUUGAUAGCAACUUGCUCUUUCAAAUUCAAUGUCCUUUGGACAUCAAAUUGGGCUUGAAGGACUAUUUUGGGGAAGGGAAUGAGUAUUUACACUUGAACUCUUAAGGUAUGUGGUUAGAAGAGUCCAAGCUAUUUUCCUCGAGAAAUUAUUAGGUAGUCGAAGUCUACUAAGUGUUCAUGGUCUUAGUCAAUCACUAUAUGACAUGUAUUUUAAGUUUUUAAACUUUUGAAAAAGACUUGAUGACACUUGAUUACAUGUCAUAGAGACUAAUUAGGGAUCAUGUAGUCCAGAUCCACCCAAUAAUUUCUCAUUUUCCUUGGCUUAUGGUGGGUGUGGUUUCAGCUUAUUAGAUGCUUGGUUCUGAAAAGUCAAGUCAAAAUGCUUUAAGAGCUAACGUUGGCAAUAUGCAAACAGUUGUGUUAUAAUAUUGUAAUGUCAAGAGUUUCGUAUAUGCUGCUUUUGAAACAGGUGAAAAAGAUGACGGUAUAUGCUAUGCAAGAUGUGAUCGGAAAAUUAGAGCAAGCAAGGUCCGGGAAAACCAAGGUUCCGGAGUAAAUAUAUCUGCAACAGAUAAAAGCCAAUUGGAGGUGUAAAUUUUGAGUCUAUUAACUUAGCUUAUUCAGGUGUGGUGAUGUUGGGUACUGUUUCAACGGUUCCAUAUUUUAUUUUCGUAACAACUCCUGGAAACAUCUAAUAUGACUUGAACGGGGGUGUACAUAUAAUUUUCAUGAAUAGGGUACAUUUUUAGCUUCUGAAUGCAUAGAUGAUGAUAUUCAAUGUUGCAUAA